RNAcentral lists this ribosomal RNA (346 nucleotides) under uncultured bacterium. RNAcentral's name for it is "partial 16S ribosomal RNA". It matches the Rfam family "Bacterial small subunit ribosomal RNA", at positions 338 to 701 of the family's 1533-position model. The record is from RNAcentral.
CCUACGGGAGGCAGCAGUAGGGAAUAUUGCUCAAUGGGGGAAACCCUGAAGCAGCAACGCCGCGUGGAGGAUGAAGGUUUUCGGAUUGUAAACUCCUUGUGUUAGAGAAGAGAAUGACGGUAGCUAACGAAUAAGCAACGGCUAACACCGUGCCAGCAGCCGCGGUAAUACGGAGGGGGCAAGCGUUACGCGGAAUCACUGGGCGUAAAGAGCGCGUAGGCGGGAUAGCACGUCCGAUGUGAACUCCUAUGGCUUAACCAUAGAUCUGCAUUUGAAACUGUUAUUCUAGAGUAUGGGAGAGGUAGGUGUACUUCUUGGUGUCGGUGUCCACUCCGUAGAGAUCAAG